CUUUUGUUUACUUUUUAUUCAAAGAUAGCCGCGUCGCUUUUCGUGCGCUUAUAAAACCCAGUUUUUGUGUAGAUUUCUGUGUACAAGCUUGAUUUCCUUGCUACCUAUCCGUGUUACCUCUGUGAUUGUGGGUGGUUGUUGUGUGCAAUUCGAUCGGGAGUUGCUAAUUUUGUUCACCUGUAAAACCUGUAAGUUGGAUGAAAUCAAAUUGUUACCAUGAGCGGUUCGAAUGUGGGAGCUACUAGCUGUGGAUGCGGGCAAGAAUGCAAUUGCACAAGCAUUGCUAACGAAAAUGCCAAACAAUUACAUACUUUAAAAAAUUUGAUACUAGAUGCAAAUAUGAAAUUAGACGAGCUUAUGGAAAUGCAACUAAAUCAACAAAUCCAGCCUCGGUCAAUUAUUGAAAAUGUGGUGCCGGAAGAAGUAAUUGAAGAAGCUUUCGCGUUAAUUUCAUCCAAAGUAGAUUUGGACAAGCUCGAGCAGGAUUUGGUGGUGACAGAGCAUUUCCGAUCGAUUAAAUCAGGUCUCAUGAAAAGGAUCAAGUCGGUAGGGAUUAAAGCAAGGCUG
Molecule: long non-coding RNA, 567 nt
Organism: Anopheles gambiae (African malaria mosquito)
Lineage: Eukaryota; Metazoa; Arthropoda; Insecta; Diptera; Culicidae
Exons: 3
Source: RefSeq, a predicted model, not a curated record